GUGCUUGCUUUGGCAGCAUAUAUACUAAAUUUGGAACAAUACAGAGAAGAUUAGCAUGAUAAAUAAGAAUUUAAAACAUUAACUUAAUUGGAUUAUGAUUUAU
This is a small nuclear RNA of Homo sapiens (human), 103 nucleotides long. The record is from Rfam. Lineage: Eukaryota; Metazoa; Chordata; Mammalia; Primates; Hominidae.